This 433-nucleotide ribosomal RNA is filed under the name uncultured bacterium. RNAcentral's name for it is "partial 16S ribosomal RNA". It matches the Rfam family "Bacterial small subunit ribosomal RNA", at positions 29 to 507 of the family's 1533-position model. The record is from RNAcentral.
AACGAACGCUGGCGGCAUGCCUAACACAUGCAAGUCGAACGAACCCUUCGGGGUUAGUGGCGCACGGGUGCGUAACGCGUGGGAAUCUGCCCUUUGCUUCGGAAUAACUCAGGGAAACUUGUGCUAAUACCGGAUGAUGUCUUCGGACCAAAGAUUUAUCGGCAAGGGAUGAGCCCGCGUAGGAUUAGGUAGUUGGUGGGGUAAAGGCCUACCAAGCCGACGAUCCUUAGCUGGUCUGAGAGGAUGAUCAGCCACACUGGGACUGAGACACGGCCCAGACUCCUACGGGAGGCGGCAGUGGGGAAUAUUGGACAAUGGGCGCAAGCAUGAUCCAGCAAUGCCGCGUGAGUGAUGAAGGCCCUCGGGUCGUAAAGCUCUUUUACCAGGGAUGAUAAUGACAGUACCUGGAGAAUAAGCUCCGGCUAACUCCGUG